GACGAACGCUGGCGGCGUGCUUAACACAUGCAAGUCGAACGGUGAAGCGCCUUCCUUUUUGGUGGGUGUGGAUGAGUGGCGAACGGGUGAGUAACACGUGAGUAACCUGCCCCCUUCUUCUGGAUAACCGCAUGAAAGUGUGGCUAAUACGGGAUAUUCUGGGUCUGUCGCAUGAUGGGUCUGGGAAAGAUAUUGUUUCGGUGGGGGAUGGGCUCGCGGCCUAUCAGCUUGUUGGUGGGGUGAUGGCCUACCAAGGCGGUGACGGGUAGCCGGCCUGAGAGGGUGGACGGUCACACUGGGGCUAAGACGCGGCCCAGACUCCUACGGGAGGCAGCAGUGGGGAAUAUUGCACAAGGGGCGCAAGCCUGAUGCAGCGACGCCGCGUGAGGGAUGGAGGCCUUCGGGUUGUGAACCUCUUUCGCCAGUGAAGCAGGCCUGCCUCGUUUGUGGGUGGGUUGACGGUAGCUGGAUAAGAAGCGCCGGCUAACUACGUG
This 494-nucleotide ribosomal RNA is filed under the name uncultured bacterium. RNAcentral's name for it is "partial 16S ribosomal RNA". It matches the Rfam family "Bacterial small subunit ribosomal RNA", at positions 28 to 507 of the family's 1533-position model. The record is from RNAcentral.